AACGCACAUUGCGCCCGCCAGUAUUCUGGCGGGCAUGCCUGUUCGAGCGUCAUUUCAACCCUCAGGCCCCCAGUGCCUGGUGUUGGGGAUCGGCCCAGCCUUCCUGUAAGGCCGCCGGCCCCGAAAUCUAGUGGCGGUCUCGCUGUAGUCCUCCUCUGCGUAGUAGCACAACCUCGCAGUUGGAACGCGGCGGUGGCCAUGCCGUUAAACACCCCACUUCUGAAAGUUGACCUCGGAUCAGGUAGGAAUACCCGCUGAACUUAA
This 264-nucleotide unclassified non-coding RNA is filed under the name uncultured fungus. RNAcentral's name for it is "partial contains 5.8S ribosomal RNA, internal transcribed spacer 2, and large subunit ribosomal RNA". The stretch from base 1 to 52 matches the Rfam family "5.8S ribosomal RNA", at positions 103 to 154 of the family's 154-position model. The record is from RNAcentral. Lineage: Eukaryota; Fungi. RNAcentral also lists the same sequence under 1 other name.